AACGAACGCUGGCGGCAGGCUUAACACAUGCAAGUCGAACGAGCUGGGAACUUCGGUUCCCGAUGCUAGUGGCGCACGGGUGAGUAACACGUGGGAACGUACCCUUUAGUACGGAAUAACUCAGGGAAACUUGAGCUAAUACCGUAUGACUCCUUCGGGAGAAAGAUUUAUCGCUAAAGGAGCGGCCCGCGUCUGAUUAGGUAGUUGGUGAGGUAACGGCUCACCAAGCCGACGAUCAGUAGCUGGUCUGAGAGGAUGAUCAGCCACACUGGGACUGAGACACGGCCCAGACUCCUACGGGAGGCAGCAGUGGGGAAUAUUGGACAAUGGGGGCGAACCCUGAUCCAGCCAUGCCGCGUGAGUGAAGAAGGCCUC
Molecule: ribosomal RNA, 375 nt
Filed under: uncultured bacterium
Lineage: Bacteria
Description: bacterial SSU rRNA
Rfam family: Bacterial small subunit ribosomal RNA
Source: RNAcentral